RNAcentral lists this ribosomal RNA (468 nucleotides) under uncultured bacterium. Its description in RNAcentral is "partial 16S ribosomal RNA". It matches the Rfam family "Bacterial small subunit ribosomal RNA", at positions 28 to 507 of the family's 1533-position model. The record is from RNAcentral.
GACGAACGCUGGCGGCGUGCUUAACACAUGCAAGUCGAACGGAAAGGCCCUGCUUUUGUGGGGUGCUCGAGUGGCGAACGGGUGAGUAACACGUGAGUAACCUGCCCUUGACUUUGGGAUAACUUCAGGAAACUGGGGCUAAUACCGGAUAGGAGCUCCUGCUGCAUGGUGGGGGUUGGAAAGUUUCGGCGGUUGGGGAUGGACUCGCGGCUUAUCAGCUUGUUGGUGGGGUAGUGGCUUACCAAGGCUUUGACGGGUAGCCGGCCUGAGAGGGUGACCGGCCACAUUGGGACUGAGAUACGGCCCAGACUACUACGGGAGGCAGCAGUGGGGAAUUUUGCACAAUGGGCGGAAGCCUGAUGCAGCAACGCCGCGUGCGGGAUGACGGCCUUCGGGUUGUAAACCGCUUUCGCCUGUGACGAAGCGUGAGUGACGGUAAUGGGUAAAGAAGCACCGGCUAACUACGUG